CUUUCACAUUCACCGUUGAGACUUUUGUGCUUUCCCUUUUCUCCAAAAACACUGUUUCAGAACGCAAUCAAUAUGAAUAAUGAAUUCAUGGACUGCUUGCAUUCAAACUCCCCUACCAUGAUCAAUUUCCAUAAGCACUUUCACAGCAAACGACCGAACUAAGAAAUCCAAUCAUCAUUGUUGUUCGAGUGGUGACAAAGGUUGUGCGUAUACGGCGACAACAUAAGACGAAUAUUGGAAUCGUGAAAGGAAACGGAGCGGUGACAACCCAUCUCAAGCGGCACACGGUAAGUAGAUGAGAGGUCCCCUUGAGACGUGGCUCAGUAGUAGGACUUUUCCUCGUCUACUUCCAGAUCUACUCCUGCGGCAGCCCGCUCAGCUUUCUCUCUUUGCCUGUCUCCGUGUUGCAAUGGUGGUAACAUGGCAGAUUUAUUCAUCUUCCAUCAGGCGACAUGCUUCGAUUUGUCCUCUUCCGCUCCGGUAAAAAUCAUCUGCUUCCAAUGUUGUGCGCACCGCUGCCUCCGCCUUGGAUUUCUUACUCUGUUGCAGCUGGAUUCAUAACGGUGUUGGGUUUCUUUGCCUCUGUUUUGCGCUGAUAAAAUCCGCUUCUUCAUUUUUCAAUGUAUUAUUCAAUCAUUGAUUUUUUCUUUGUGCUUUGGGUUGCAUGUUUUCUUUGAUUUCCAUUUUAUUUCUUAACACCGAUUUUUUUGUGAGAAAAAAAAAGGUUUAAUUUUGUUAACGAUAAGGUAAGCCCUCUUUUCUUAUGUAUGAUGCUAUAUAUGUCUAUGCUACUGUUUGCAAAAAAGAAACCAUGACUUAGAAAUGCAGGGUUGGAAAUCAAUGAGAGGCCAUUGAAACAUCCUCUCUUGGAUUUUGGAAAUCACAUUUUUUCUCCUCUCAUUGAGUUUGGUAUCUCUAUAUUUGUUCUGUAGAUUAUUUAUGCUAUCAAGUGGUUGUAAGCAAUAUGAAGGGCAAGCUGCACAUUGUAUGAAAAAACAAGUACAUUGCUUUUGUUCCAUCUUGGCUCCUCCCUUUCUUUAUAAUACGAGAUUGCUGAUACUAAAUGUCUGCGCAUGUAUACCAAUUAGCCCAAAAUGCUCCUUUUGAAAAAUUUCUAUGUAAGAAGUUCCAUUCACCAUGUAGGUGUUUUGGCUGUGGUAAAAAAUUUAUGAUUUUUAAAAACUGGAAGAGGUUUUCAUUCAAAUUUGAAAUAGGUUUAUGUUCAAAAUUGCAUUCAUGAAUUAGUUCUGGAUUCUGAGAAGUUUCUUUUUCUUAUGACAUGUUAUGUGCCUUAACAAUAUGCUCCAAAUAUUUGUAUCCUGCAUCUUUUUCCCGUUAUUUUGAUCUAAUAAAGAAAUCUGGAGUCCAUAGGUGAUAUGAAUAUGCUGUUAUGUAAAUACGAAUUCAAAGUCAAGUGCAACUUUUACAUGUGUGGUGUCAAUAGCUGAUCUGAAUAUGUUGUUUUUUUUAUAUGGAAAUGAGUUGUCUAUGUAGCAGAAUUUUGGCAAAGAUAAAUACUAAUGUCAUAUCCAUUUUUUUGUCUGAUAUGUUAGAUUGUUGCUAGAACCCUAAAAAGAUGAAUGGGGGCCAUAAGAAAGAGGGGGGUAUAAUGGCUGAUUUGAGUACCAAUUUAGAGCUAAUUGGCAAGAAAUAUGAAGAUAGAGAACAUUCUGAUGGAUAGUCUCUGCAAAAGUUAGUGGAUGGCAUCCAAGGUUAGAACCGAUUAAAAUUUGACAUAUUCUUAGUAAUUUGUGCCACAUGCCAAAUCUCUAACCUCAAUGAUACCUGUCUUUGUCCAAUUUUAGAAACACCUUUACAACAAAUUUAAUGAAAGAGUGUUGCCAAUCAUAUUGGCAGGUAGAUCUCUGCUUAAUAUAUGUUUUUUCCAUUCUUUUUCCUCCACUUAUGUAUCCAAAACAUAAUAUGGUGCUAUCUCAAAGUGCGGCAUCACUAACUCAGAAAAGGAAGACAUCUUUCAGUUUGGUUUAAUUUUACUUGAAGUUACAUCUUCCACUGAAGUAGAGGAGCUAAAAUAUUAGGUAUCCAUGGCAUUUACUCUCAGUUAGAUAUCUUUAAAUUAAAUACUUAUAAACCAUAGAUACUGAUCUUUCAUGAUUAUAUGAUUUUCCCCCAUUUAAUAUGACAUGGUCAAAGAUAAUGGUUUUUCCGGUGGUUAAUUUGCUUUUUAUCAUCUUUGUUGGAGAGAGGUUUUUUAGAAGCUGCAUCAUUGAAGACUGCAGUUCAGAUCACCAUGAAUUGUUUCAGCAAUGUUUCCAGUAAUCACCCUUCAAUAGAGGAUAUCCUCUUGAAUGUACAGAAUGGUUGCUUCUAUAUUUUGUUUUUUUUUUUCAUUUAUGCAGUCAUUAUUUCUAUUAUGAUUUAGAUUUUCAAUGUGGGAUAAGAAAAAGAAAGGAGAGUUUGCAAAUAAGGAUUGUUUUAUGCAGUAAUGUUUUGGUUGUGUACGGCUAAGUUCUACUUUUUCAUCUAUUUAACUAGGGUUGUCGUUA
Long non-coding RNA from Lotus japonicus, 2507 nucleotides. RefSeq lists it as uncharacterized. Lineage: Eukaryota; Viridiplantae; Streptophyta; Magnoliopsida; Fabales; Fabaceae. The record is from RefSeq and is a predicted model, not a curated record. The transcript is spliced from 3 exons.